UCCGAGUUGACCCCGGCAGUCUUCGAUGAGUCCCCACCAUGAUGUGCUGGCAACAUCGAACGAGGGUUGCGCUCGUUGCGGGACUUAACCCAACAUCUCACGACACGAGCUGACGACAACCAUGCACCACCUGUACCCGGCCCCGUAAGGGAACCUCCAUCUCUGGAGGGGUACCGGGUAUGUCAAGCCUUGGUAAGGUUCUUCGCGUUGCAUCGAAUUAAGCCGCAUGCUCCGCCGCUUGUGCGGGCCCCCGUCAAUUCCUUUGAGUUUCAACCUUGCGGCCGUACUCCCCAGGCGGGGAACUUACUCCGUUAGGUGCGGCACCGGCGGUAACCCGCCGACACUUAGUUCCCAUCGUUUACGGCUAGGACUAC
This 374-nucleotide unclassified non-coding RNA is filed under the name uncultured bacterium. RNAcentral describes it as "contains 16S-23S intergenic spacer region". The record is from RNAcentral.